UACGGGGGGAGCAAGCGUUGUUCGGAUUUACUGGGCGUAAAGGGCGCGUAGGCGGUUUGUCGCGUCUGCUGUGAAAAUCCGAGGCUCAACCUCGGACUUGCAGUGGGUACGGGCAGACUAGAGUGUGGUAGGGGAGACUGGAAUUCCUGGUGUAGCGGUGAAAUGCGCAGAUAUCAGGAGGAACACCGAUGGCGAAGGCAGGUCUCUGGGCCACUACUGACGCUGAGAAGCGAAAGCAUGGGGAGCAAACGGG
RNAcentral lists this ribosomal RNA (253 nucleotides) under uncultured bacterium. RNAcentral's name for it is "partial 16S ribosomal RNA". It matches the Rfam family "Bacterial small subunit ribosomal RNA", at positions 524 to 776 of the family's 1533-position model. The record is from RNAcentral.